This 252-nucleotide ribosomal RNA is filed under the name uncultured prokaryote. RNAcentral's name for it is "partial 16S ribosomal RNA". It matches the Rfam family "Bacterial small subunit ribosomal RNA", at positions 524 to 776 of the family's 1533-position model. The record is from RNAcentral.
UACGUAGGUGGCGAGCGUUAUCCGGAAUCAUUGGGCGUAAAGAGGGAGCAGGCGGCGAUAGAGGUCUACGGUGAAAGCCUGAAGCUAAACUUCAGCGAGCCGCGGAAACCAGAUGGCUAGAGUGCGGUAGAGGAUCGUGGAAUUCCAUGUGUAGCGGUGAAAUGCGUAGAUAUAUGGAGGAACACCAGUGGCGAAGGCGACGAUCUGGGCCUGCACUGACGCUCAGUCCCGAAAGCGUGGGGAGCAAAUAGG